AUACGUAGGGGGCGAGCGUUGUCCGGAAUGAUUGGGCGUAAAGGGCGCGUAGGCGGCCCGGUAAGUCUGGAGUGAAAGUCCUGUUUUUAAGAUGGGAAUUGCUUUGGAUACUGUCGGGCUUGAGUGCAGGAGAGGUAAGUGGAAUUCCCAGUGUAGCGGUGAAAUGCGUAGAGAUUGGGAGGAACACCAGUGGCGAAGGCGACUUACUGGACUGUAACUGACGCUGAGGCGCGAAAGUGUGGGGAGCAAACAGGAUUAGAUACCCUGGUAGUCCACACUGUAAACGAUGAAUGCUAGGUGUAGGGGGUAUCGACCCCUCCUGUGCCGCAGUCAACACAAUAAGCAUUCCGCCUGGGGAGUACGGCCGCAGGGUUGAAACUCAAAGGAAUUGACGGGG
This 397-nucleotide ribosomal RNA is filed under the name uncultured bacterium. RNAcentral describes it as "partial 16S ribosomal RNA". It matches the Rfam family "Bacterial small subunit ribosomal RNA", at positions 523 to 918 of the family's 1533-position model. The record is from RNAcentral.